This 657-nucleotide long non-coding RNA is filed under the name Androctonus crassicauda. The record is from RNAcentral. Lineage: Eukaryota; Metazoa; Arthropoda; Arachnida; Scorpiones; Buthidae.
CGAAAACACUGAUAAAGAACUUCAACUCUGAGGAACAUUGAAGCUCGAACAGUAUAAAAAUACACAAAUAUAUUUUUUCUAACAAUGAGUUAUAAACUGAGACCCGUAAAAUUGUGAGAACUGGAGCAACCACCCUCUGAUAGCAACUGUGCACAUCAAUAGAGGGAUGCGUAAGAAAUUUUCAAUAAUACACCACGCUGUUUUGUUUCCAGUGAUACAUGCCUGUUGUAUGGGAUGCGUACAACACUGAUAAAAGGGGAUGCACGAUUUAAAAAGUUCGAACAUUUUGCGUUCUUUUUUUUCGGAAUUUUUGUGUGGACGGAACAAACGAACAGAAAAAAAAGAAUGGUUAAUUAAAGAGCUGCAAAUUUGUUGUAAAUUACAACACACACAGUCGAACAAUCUAGGACAAUUGUUAAAGACACCGAAAGCUCGUGUCUUAACUAGCAGUUGUUUUGCGUGUUACGAAGAAUGCAAAACAUUUUUACCGUUUUCUGUUUACGUUUUUAACGCAAAAUUUUAGUUACUUUUUAUUAUUAAAAAUUGGCAUUAAUUAAUAAAUUUAUAAAAUAAAUGGUAUUUUUUUUUGUUUGAAAAUAAUAUAUUUUUGUCUUCAAGUUCUUAUCGUUAAGAUAUAAUGAGUUUCGUAUUAUAGCU